AUUGAACGCUGGCGGCAUGCUUUACACAUGCAAGUCGAACGGUAACAGGCCGCAAGGUGCUGACGAGUGGCGAACGGGUGAGUAAUGCAUCGGAACGUGCCCAGUCGUGGGGGAUAACUACUCGAAAGAGUAGCUAAUACCGCGUACGAUCUAUGGAUGAAAGCGGGGGACCGUAAGGCCUCGCGCGAUUGGAACGGCCGAUGUCAGAAUAGGUACUUGGUGUGGUAAAGUCUCACCAACCCAACACUCUGUAGCUGGUCUGAGAGGACGACCAGCCCCACUGGGACUGAGAGACCGCCCAGACUCCUACGCGAGGCAGCAGUGGGGAAUUUUGGACAAUGGGCGCAAGCCUGCUCCAGCAAUGCCGCGUGCAGCAAGCAGGCCUUCGGGUUGUAAACUGCUUUUGUACGGAACGAAACGGCUCUGGUUAAUACCCGGGGCUAAUGACGUUACCGUACAGAUAAGCACCGGCUAACUACGUG
RNAcentral lists this ribosomal RNA (482 nucleotides) under uncultured bacterium. RNAcentral describes it as "partial 16S ribosomal RNA". It matches the Rfam family "Bacterial small subunit ribosomal RNA", at positions 30 to 507 of the family's 1533-position model. The record is from RNAcentral.